Silurus meridionalis is the source of this 611-nucleotide long non-coding RNA. RefSeq lists it as uncharacterized. The transcript is spliced from 3 exons. The record is from RefSeq and is a predicted model, not a curated record. NCBI's taxonomy places the organism in Eukaryota, Metazoa, Chordata, Actinopteri, Siluriformes, Siluridae.
GUUUAAAUGAAGCUUCAGUAAAUAAAUAAAGACGCUAAAUUUGUUGUAGAAAUUCUACACACACUGGACACCAGAAGCUCCUUCUCCUCCAUCUGCAUGUUGUGGAUCAGCGUCUGUGUGGGUCUCCACUCUGGAGAAUCAGUGAUCAGUGUAUCUGGUGAAGAACGAUCUACACAAUAAAUGAUGAUCUGCGGCAGAAGCUACGCGACCUCGGCGUGCUCCGAGAACCAGGCCUCCAGACCUCGGCAUCGCCUGCGGCGGACGGACGGAGGAGGGGGAAUCGAAAGCGCUGCGCGAGGAAGCGCGGAAAGCGAGCGGGUGCUAAUGCUAGGCUAAAAGCUAACCCUAGCCGGCCCGCUCUACCAUCUCUACUGCUGGCAAAUGUCUGCUCCCUGGACAAUAAAUUAGACUACAUCAGACUCCAUCGAGCUAUUUGGCGUGAGUACAGAUACUGAGACGUGGCUGAGCAACAGAGUUCCGGACGCCGCCGUUCAGCUGCACGGGCUAGCCGCGUUUCGUGCCGACAGAAAUGCAGCUCUGUGCGGUAAGACUCGCGGCGGCGGUCUGUGUGUUUACAUCAACACGGAAUGGUGUAAGAACUCUGUGCUUGU